CGGUUGUUUUGAGCGCGUAUCCCAUCCCAAAACAGCACAUGUUUCUUGUGCUUGUCUCAGUCUCAUCCUCUCAGCCUCCAACCUCUACCUCUCCUUCCACCUAUAUAAAACAAGCAAGAAAUCUAAGCUAAUGAAGAUUAAAAGGAGAAGCCAUGGUUUUAGGAGCGCAAGCGAUGCCCAGCUCUACAAACAACCACUCUGAGAUGUACUCAAGAACUCCGCCCAUGCUUUUAGUUCCUGGUGAGAACAAAGAUCAGCCGAUCGACCCUUCGCUUUGGAGGGAUGAGCAGAGGAUGAAGAAAGAGUUGGUGGCUUGGGCUAAGGCUGUUGCUUCCAUGGUGCUCCAUACGUCGCCACAAUUUCAGCAGCAUGGUUGUUGAGAAUUAAUAACAUGUACCUUCCCUUGUAAUAGCUCUCCCUUUUCCCCCUUGUAUGCCAUCUCAAACUCCUGGUAUUAGGAUUUCUGGGGUGUAAUAGUGUUUCUUAAAGAAGGCAUGGCUGUUAAUUAUCAUUAGUUUUGUAAUUUUGAGGAGUAACGUUUCCUUCUUUUUUUUUUUUUUGUCUCUCUCUCUACUUCUUGUUAAGUAUUAACAAAUACUGUUGUUUCUCUAACUGGCAAGGCUAUAAACCAUGUUAUUGUAAAAUUUUUGGAAAAGCAAGUUAUAGUUAUAUAAAAUCUCAUCUUGUUUUGAAUUUGAAGUUUCUUUUCCUUCUACAUUAGACAGUCCUGUACUUGAUUUGCUUCUUCUCAUGCUUGAAUAACCUUUGCCUUCUCUGUGCUACUGCUGCCGAUCUGCAUCUUUCGAUCUGCGAGUAUUGUGUUGUCUGGGACUGGACAGUUGAAUCAAUUAAAGUUUAUGGAAAUUUUGAUGCAGAGAGAUCUUAAUUACUAAAACAAGGUGGGACUUUCUCAUCC
This 916-nucleotide long non-coding RNA is filed under the name Elaeis guineensis (African oil palm). RNAcentral's name for it is "long non-coding RNA (EGUI_LNC026698)". Lineage: Eukaryota; Viridiplantae; Streptophyta; Magnoliopsida; Arecales; Arecaceae. The record is from RNAcentral.